RNAcentral lists this ribosomal RNA (253 nucleotides) under uncultured bacterium. Its description in RNAcentral is "partial 16S ribosomal RNA". It matches the Rfam family "Bacterial small subunit ribosomal RNA", at positions 524 to 776 of the family's 1533-position model. The record is from RNAcentral.
UACGAAGGGGGCUAGCGUUGUUCGGAAUUACUGGGCGUAAAGGGCGCGUAGGCGGCGUGUCAAGUCAGGCGUGAAAGCCCCGGGCUCAACCUGGGAACCGCGCUUGAGACUGGCAUGCUCGAGUUCGGGAGAGGAUGGUGGAAUUCCCAGUGUAGAGGUGAAAUUCGUAGAUAUGGGGAGGAACACCGGUGGCGAAGGCGGCCACCUGGACGGUAACUGACGCUGAGACGCGAAAGCGUGGGGAGCAAACAGG